GUAUAGAACUUACCUUUUACAGAGGGAUAGCCUUUAGAAAUGAAGAUUAAUACCUCAUAGUAUUGAGUCUCGGCAUCGGGAUUCACUUAAAGAUUUAUCGGUAAAAGAUGGCUAUGCGUCCUAUUAGUUAGUUGGUAAGGUAACGGCUUACCAAGACAGCGAUAGGUAGGGGUCCUGAGAGGGAGAUCCCCCACACUGGUACUGAGACACGGACCAGACUCCUACGGGAGGCAGCAGUGAGGAAUAUUGGGCAAUGGAGGCAACUCUGACCCAGCCAUGCCGCGUGCAGGAAGACUGCCCUAUGGGUUGUAAACUGCUUUUAUACAGGAAGAAACACUGCUACGUGUAGCAG
RNAcentral lists this ribosomal RNA (352 nucleotides) under uncultured Flavobacteriaceae bacterium. RNAcentral describes it as "bacterial SSU rRNA". It matches the Rfam family "Bacterial small subunit ribosomal RNA", at positions 117 to 467 of the family's 1533-position model. The record is from RNAcentral. Lineage: Bacteria; Pseudomonadati; Bacteroidota; Flavobacteriia; Flavobacteriales; Flavobacteriaceae.